This 342-nucleotide transfer RNA is filed under the name Danio dangila (olive danio). RNAcentral's name for it is "tRNA-Ile". The stretch from base 271 to 342 matches the Rfam family "tRNA". The record is from RNAcentral. Lineage: Eukaryota; Metazoa; Chordata; Actinopteri; Cypriniformes; Danionidae.
UUUUAUUAAUAAAUACCCUAUCAACAGUCUUAUUUUUAGGAGCAUCAUUCAUACCACACACACCAGAACUAAUAACUAUAAAUAUUGCAACUAAAACUGCACUACUAACCAUUUUAUUUUUAUGAAUACGCGCAUCCUACCCACGAUUCCGAUAUGAUCAACUUAUACAUCUAAUUUGAAAAAGCUUUCUUCCAAUUACAUUAAUCCUAGUUCUAUGACAUAUUGCUCUACCAAUUGCACUAGCAGGCUUACCCCCACAAGCAUAAUUCAAGAACCGUGCCCGAAUGCUCAGGGAUCACUUUGAUAGAGUGAAUUAUAGGGGUUAAAAUCCCCUCAGUUCUU